GACGGAAGGUGCAAGCGUUGCUCGGAAUCACUGGGCGUAAAGGGUGCGUAGGCGGCCGUGCAAGUCUGGCGUGAAAGCCCCGGGCUCAGCCCGGGAAGUGCGCUCGAAACUGCGCGGCUCGAGUGCCGGAGGGGAGAGUGGAAUUCCUGGUGUAGCGGUGAAAUGCGUAGAUAUCAGGAAGAACACCCGUGGCGAAGGCGGUUCUCUGGGACGGUACUGACGCUGAGACGCGAAAGCGUGGGGAGCGAACAGG
RNAcentral lists this ribosomal RNA (253 nucleotides) under uncultured bacterium. RNAcentral's name for it is "partial 16S ribosomal RNA". It matches the Rfam family "Bacterial small subunit ribosomal RNA", at positions 524 to 776 of the family's 1533-position model. The record is from RNAcentral.